RNAcentral lists this unclassified non-coding RNA (400 nucleotides) under uncultured fungus. RNAcentral describes it as "sequence contains ITS1". The stretch from base 1 to 105 matches the Rfam family "5.8S ribosomal RNA", at positions 50 to 154 of the family's 154-position model. Lineage: Eukaryota; Fungi. The record is from RNAcentral.
GAAAUGCGAUAAGUAGUGUGAAUUGCAGAAUUCAGUGAAUCAUCGAAUCUUUGAACGCACAUUGCGCCCUCAGGUAUUCCUGGGAGCAUGCCUGUUUGAGAAUUGGAACCUCCUCUACCUUUACACCUGUGGGUGAUUUAAGGGUGGGAUUUGAGUCGUCCCAGGCGAAGGCAACUUCAGAAACUGGGUGACUUGGAAUGGAUGGUUUGGCUAAGACUUUUAAGUCCAAUUGCUGACAAGCGUGACAAGAACUUUGCAAUGCCAUUUCGGUGAGCAAGUUUCAGACCGCUGACUCAGUCUUUGGGUUAUUAAACUUAGAUUUCUUAUCGCCUUCUCAACUAAAAUUACGUGAUUGAGAACGUGUUCUUAAUCCUGAAUCUCAGUCUCAAAUCAGGCAAGA